GAUGAACGCUGGCGGCGUGCCUAAUACAUGCAAGUCGAGCGAACGGACGAGAAGCUUGCUUCUCUGAUGUUAGCGGCGGACGGGUGAGUAACACGUGGAUAACCUACCUAUAAGACUGGGAUAACUUCGGGAAACCGGAGCUAAUACCGGAGGAUAUUUUGAACCGCAUGGUUCAAAAGUGAAAGACGGUCUUGCUGUCACUUAUAGAUGGAUCCGCGCUGCAUUAGCUAGUUGGUAAGGUAACGGCUUACCAAGGCAACGAUGCGUAGCCGACCUGAGAGGGUGAUCGCCCACACUGGAACUGAGACACCGUCCAGACGCCUACGGGAGGCAGCAGUAGGGAAUCUGCCGCAAUGGGCGAAAGCCUGACGGAGCAACGCCGCGUGAGUGAUGAAGGUCUUCGGAUCGUAAUACUCUGUUAUUAGGGAAGAACAUAUGUGUAAGUAACUGUGCACAUCUUGACGGUACCUAAUCAGAAAGCCACGGCUAACUACGUG
Molecule: ribosomal RNA, 497 nt
Filed under: uncultured bacterium
Lineage: Bacteria
Description: partial 16S ribosomal RNA
Rfam family: Bacterial small subunit ribosomal RNA
Source: RNAcentral